CCUCAUCCCAGCCUUUCAGUAACUUAAUCAUCAAAAAUAAAUAUCAGAAGGGCUACUCUCGUAUUUCAAUCAGAUGCUUAUAUCCAACACCGCUAGAUGUCAGCAGUGCACUGCUGUAAAGGUCGCUAGGUCCAAUCUGUAAAUAAAGUAUAAAAAUGAAUGGUUCUGGAACAAUUUUUAUCAUCUAUUUUCCAUUAGCAAUAUUAUCGUACCCAGAUGUCACCUAAUGAAAGCAGAAUUACCGGUCAUUCAGGUUUGUCCUUUGUGCAUUCCAUGAUGUUAGUGACUGCAUUUUGAAUACUUGUGUUUUUCCCUCAGAGCUGGACAAAAUGCAAGUGCCCUUUUUUCUGCUCACUAAUUCCAAGUAGCAGUCAUCAACAGGCACGUUACAGGGAGUAAAGCGAUGCUUUUGGACGGGUGAUCGUAACAAGGAUGAUGAAGCAGCCUUCACUUGGAGGUAGGCUGUAUUUGUGUACUGGAAGCAGCAAUUGGGAAGAAGUCCCGGCGUGGAUCCUGAGCUAAGGAAACUGUAGCCUCACUGAACGUGCUGCACAUCUGUUCCGUGGCAAGGAGAGCCGAGUGCCUACAGCUUGCAGUGCAGAUUCUGCACAUCUUACAUCUGAGUGAACUUCAGUGGUAUCUGUCAAGGUCCUGGCUCAUCUCGUCAACAUCGAGGCAGACUUGGCAUUCUGGUCAGCUGAAAAAUUGAACUUCUUACAGUCCCUAGACUGCGAUCCAGAAAGAAUUUGAUGCUUGCUUCAGAAAGACACAUUAU
Molecule: long non-coding RNA, 775 nt
Filed under: Pavo cristatus (Indian peafowl)
Lineage: Eukaryota; Metazoa; Chordata; Aves; Galliformes; Phasianidae
Description: lncRNA (ENSPSTG00000000470.1)
Source: RNAcentral